This 305-nucleotide ribosomal RNA is filed under the name uncultured bacterium. Its description in RNAcentral is "bacterial SSU rRNA". It matches the Rfam family "Bacterial small subunit ribosomal RNA", at positions 337 to 635 of the family's 1533-position model. The record is from RNAcentral.
UCCUACGGGGGGCAGCAGUAGGGAAUUUUCGUCAAUGAGCGCAAGCCUGAACGAGCAAUGCCGCGUGAACGAGGAAGGUCUUCGGAUCGUAAAGUUCUGUUGAAGGGGAAAAAGAGCGGAGAGAGGAAAUGGUCUCCGAUUGAUAUUACCCUUCGAGGAAGUCACGGCUAACUACGUGCCAGCAGCCGCGGUAAUACGUAGGUGGCGAGCGUUAUCCGGAAUGAUUGGGCGUAAAGGGUGCGUAGGCGGCCUGCUAAGUCUGGAGUGAAAGGUACCGGCUCAACCGGUACAGGCUCUGGAAACUG